CGCGUAGGUGGUAGUGCAAGUCUGAGGUGGAAUCCCAGGGCUUAACCCUGGAACUGCCUUGGAAACUGCACUACUUGAGUCAGUGAGGGGAGGGUAGAAUUCCUGGUGUAGCGGUGAAAUGCGUAGAUAUCAGGAGGAAGGCCGGUGGCGAAGGCGGCCCUCUGGCGCUGAACUGACACUGAGGCGCGAAAGCGUGGGUAGCAAACAGGAUUAGAUACCCUGGUAGUCCACGCCCUAAACGGUGGGUACUAGGUGUAGGGCUCGUAAGGGUUCUGUGCCGAAGCGAAAGCAUUAAGUACCCCGCCUGGGGAGUACGGCCGCAAGGUUGAA
Molecule: ribosomal RNA, 330 nt
Filed under: uncultured bacterium
Lineage: Bacteria
Description: bacterial SSU rRNA
Rfam family: Bacterial small subunit ribosomal RNA
Source: RNAcentral